This 497-nucleotide ribosomal RNA is filed under the name uncultured bacterium. RNAcentral's name for it is "partial 16S ribosomal RNA". It matches the Rfam family "Bacterial small subunit ribosomal RNA", at positions 28 to 507 of the family's 1533-position model. The record is from RNAcentral.
GAUGAACGCUGGCGGCGUGCCUAAUACAUGCAAGUCGAGCGAACAGAUGAGGAGCUUGCUCCUCUGACGUUAGCGGCGGACGGGUGAGUAACACGUGGAUAACCUACCUAUAAGACUGGGAUAACUUCGGGAAACCGGAGCUAAUACCGGAUAAUAUAUUGAACCGCAUGGUUCAAUAGUGAAAGACGGUUUUGCUGUCACUUAUAGAUGGAUCCGCGCCGCAUUAGCUAGUUGGUAAGGUAACGGCUUACCAAGGCAACGAUGCGUAGCCGACCUGAGAGGGUGAUCGGCCACACUGGAACUGAGACACGGUCCAGACUCCUACGGGAGGCAGCAGUAGGGAAUCUUCCGCAAUGGGCGAAAGCCUGACGGAGCAACGCCGCGUAAGUGAUGAAGGUCUUCGGAUCGUAAAACUCUGUUAUUAGGGAAGAACAAAUGUGUAAGUAACUAUGCACGUCUCGACGGUACCUAAUCAGAAAGCCACGGCUAACUACGUG